RNAcentral lists this unclassified non-coding RNA (423 nucleotides) under Hevea brasiliensis (rubber tree). Lineage: Eukaryota; Viridiplantae; Streptophyta; Magnoliopsida; Malpighiales; Euphorbiaceae. The record is from RNAcentral.
AAUUGCAGGAGUUAAACAAGGACUUAACCCGAAAGCUUGAAGCUCAAACACAAAGAUCGGAGCUUUUGACUGCUCAAAGCAUGGCAACUGGUAAUAACCAAACAAGGCUACCAGAUGCUUUAUCUGUGCAGGACAGCACCACAUAUGCUGAUGAAGGUGAUGAGGUGGUGGAACGGGUCUUGGGAUGGAUAAUAAAGCUAUUCCCUGGAGGACCAUCAAAGCGGAGAACCAGCAAUCUUAUUUAGUUCAACGAGUUUUGUACAUCAUAUAAGCUCUUUUUGCUCCUCCGCGCCUUGUAUUUUUGGUAGCCAGAUGGAGAUGGUUUUCGUGUUCUAUUAAGUGAUUCAUAGUCCUAAUUCAUUUCCCAGAAGAAGCAAAUUGCUUCAAAGAGGUAUUUAGAAGAAAUGAUUGAUUACUUCACAG